GUGACAGUGUGAGUGUGUACAAGAUUCUGUGUGUGUGUGUGUGUGCGCUACACCCUACAACGCUACAUCCUCUUGUGGAUACACAGGUGUGUGUGUGUGUGUGUGUGUGUGUGUGUGUGUGUGCUACACCCUACAACGCUACAUCCUUUUGUGGAUACACAGGUGUGUGUGUGUGUGUGUGUGUGUGUGUGUGCGCUACACCCUACAACGCUACAUCCUCUUGUGGAUACACAGGUUGACAUUGCAGUUGGUGCAGAAGUGAUG
Long non-coding RNA from Alosa sapidissima (American shad), 264 nucleotides. RefSeq lists it as uncharacterized. The record is from RefSeq and is a predicted model, not a curated record. Lineage: Eukaryota; Metazoa; Chordata; Actinopteri; Clupeiformes; Clupeidae. The transcript has 3 exons.